UGAGUUUGAUCCUGGCUCAGGAUGAACGCUAGCGGCAGGCCUAACACAUGCAAGUCGAGGGGCAGCGGGAGUGCUUGCACUCGCCGGCGACCGGCGCACGGGUGCGGAACGCGUAUCGAAUCUGCCUCUAUCUGGGGGAUACCCCAUGGAAACGUGGAAUAAUACCCCAUAGUAUUACUUUAUCGCAUGAUUUAGUAAUUAAAGAAUUUCGGAUAGAGAUGACGAUGCGUAUCAUUAGCUAGUAGGUAAGGUAACGGCUUACCUAGGCAACGAUGAUUAGGGGUCCUGAGAGGGAGAUCCCCCACACUGGUACUGAGACACGGACCAGACUCCUACGGGAGGCAGCAGUGAGGAAUAUUGGACAAUGGUCGAAAGACUGAUCCAGCCAUGCCGCGUGCAGGAUGACUGCCCUAUGGGUUGUAAACUGCUUUUAUACGGGAAGAAAAACACCUACGUGUAGGUGACUGACGGUACCGUAAGAAUAAGGACCGGCUAACUCCGUGCCAGCAGCCGCGGUAAUACGGAGGGUCCAAGCGUUAUCCGGAAUCAUUGGGUUUAAAGGGUCCGUAGGCGGGCUAUUAAGUCAGAGGUGAAAGUUUGCAGCUCAACUGUAAAAUUGCCUUUGAUACUGAUAGUCUUGAAUUGUAGUGAAGUGGUUAGAAUAUGUGGUG
This 671-nucleotide ribosomal RNA is filed under the name uncultured bacterium. Its description in RNAcentral is "bacterial SSU rRNA". It matches the Rfam family "Bacterial small subunit ribosomal RNA", at positions 1 to 675 of the family's 1533-position model. The record is from RNAcentral.